UACAGAGGGUGCGAGCGUUAAUCGGAAUUACUGGGCGUAAAGGGCGCGUAGGCGGUUAUUUAAGUUAGGUGUGAAAAUUCUGGGCUUAACCUGGGACUUGCAUUUAAUACUGGAUGACUAGAAUAGAGUAGAGGGAAGUGGAAUUUCCGGUGUAGCGGUGAAAUGCGUAGAUAUCGGAAAGAACACCAGUGGCGAAGGCGGCUUCCUGGACUCAUAUUGACGCUGAGGCGCGAAAGCAUGGGGAGCAAACAGG
RNAcentral lists this unclassified non-coding RNA (253 nucleotides) under uncultured Gammaproteobacteria bacterium. RNAcentral's name for it is "contains 16S-23S intergenic spacer region". It matches the Rfam family "Bacterial small subunit ribosomal RNA", at positions 524 to 776 of the family's 1533-position model. The record is from RNAcentral. Lineage: Bacteria; Pseudomonadati; Pseudomonadota; Gammaproteobacteria.